This 164-nucleotide small nuclear RNA is filed under the name Saimiri boliviensis boliviensis (Bolivian squirrel monkey). RNAcentral's name for it is "U1 spliceosomal RNA (ENSSBOG00000015352.1)". It matches the Rfam family "U1 spliceosomal RNA". Rfam says of the family: U1 is a small nuclear RNA (snRNA) component of the spliceosome (involved in pre-mRNA splicing). Its 5' end forms complementary base pairs with the 5' splice junction, thus defining the 5' donor site of an intron. There are significant differences in sequence and secondary structure between metazoan and yeast U1 snRNAs, the latter being much longer (568 nucleotides as compared to 164 nucleotides in human). The record is from Rfam by way of RNAcentral. Lineage: Eukaryota; Metazoa; Chordata; Mammalia; Primates; Cebidae.
AAAUUUACCUGGCAGGGGAAAUACCAUGAUCACGAAGAUGGUUUUCCCCGGGCAAGGCUUAUCCCCUGCACUCCAGAUGUGCUGACCCCUGCGAUUUCCCCAAAUGUGGGAAACUCAACUGCAUAAUUUGUGUUAGUAGGGGACUGCGUUCAUGCUUUCCCCUG